This 31-nucleotide non-coding RNA is filed under the name Homo sapiens (human). The record is from RNAcentral. Lineage: Eukaryota; Metazoa; Chordata; Mammalia; Primates; Hominidae.
UUACCAUCAACAUGGAAACUUGGCUCCUCAC